This 2903-nucleotide ribosomal RNA is filed under the name Escherichia coli TOP2396-1. Its description in RNAcentral is "bacterial LSU rRNA". It matches the Rfam family "Bacterial large subunit ribosomal RNA". Lineage: Bacteria; Pseudomonadati; Pseudomonadota; Gammaproteobacteria; Enterobacterales; Enterobacteriaceae. The record is from RNAcentral.
UUAAGCGACUAAGCGUACACGGUGGAUGCCCUGGCAGUCAGAGGCGAUGAAGGACGUGCUAAUCUGCGAUAAGCGUCAGUAAGGUGAUAUGAACCGUUAUAACCGGCGAUUUCCGAAUGGGGAAACCCAGUGUGAUUCGACACACUAUCAUUAACUGAAUCCAUAGGUUAAUGAGGCGAACCGGGGGAACUGAAACAUCUAAGUACCCCGAGGAAAAGAAAUCAACCGAGAUUCCCCCAGUAGCGGCGAGCGAACGGGGAGGAGCCCAGAGCCUGAAUCAGUGUGUGUGUUAGUGGAAGCGUCUGGAAAGGCGCGCGAUACAGGGUGACAGCCCCGUACACAAAAAUGCACAUAUUGUGAGCUCGAUGAGUAGGGCGGGACACGUGGUAUCCUGUCUGAAUAUGGGGGGACCAUCCUCCAAGGCUAAAUACUCCUGACUGACCGAUAGUGAACCAGUACCGUGAGGGAAAGGCGAAAAGAACCCCGGCGAGGGGAGUGAAAAAGAACCUGAAACCGUGUACGUACAAGCAGUGGGAGCACGCUUAGGCGUGUGACUGCGUACCUUUUGUAUAAUGGGUCAGCGACUUAUAUUCUGUAGCAAGGUUAACCGAAUAGGGGAGCCGAAGGGAAACCGAGUCUUAACUGGGCGUUAAGUUGCAGGGUAUAGACCCGAAACCCGGUGAUCUAGCCAUGGGCAGGUUGAAGGUUGGGUAACACUAACUGGAGGACCGAACCGACUAAUGUUGAAAAAUUAGCGGAUGACUUGUGGCUGGGGGUGAAAGGCCAAUCAAACCGGGAGAUAGCUGGUUCUCCCCGAAAGCUAUUUAGGUAGCGCCUCGUGAAUUCAUCUCCGGGGGUAGAGCACUGUUUCGGCAAGGGGGUCAUCCCGACUUACCAACCCGAUGCAAACUGCGAAUACCGGAGAAUGUUAUCACGGGAGACACACGGCGGGUGCUAACGUCCGUCGUGAAGAGGGAAACAACCCAGACCGCCAGCUAAGGUCCCAAAGUCAUGGUUAAGUGGGAAACGAUGUGGGAAGGCCCAGACAGCCAGGAUGUUGGCUUAGAAGCAGCCAUCAUUUAAAGAAAGCGUAAUAGCUCACUGGUCGAGUCGGCCUGCGCGGAAGAUGUAACGGGGCUAAACCAUGCACCGAAGCUGCGGCAGCGACGCUUAUGCGUUGUUGGGUAGGGGAGCGUUCUGUAAGCCUGUGAAGGUGUGCUGUGAGGCAUGCUGGAGGUAUCAGAAGUGCGAAUGCUGACAUAAGUAACGAUAAAGCGGGUGAAAAGCCCGCUCGCCGGAAGACCAAGGGUUCCUGUCCAACGUUAAUCGGGGCAGGGUGAGUCGACCCCUAAGGCGAGGCCGAAAGGCGUAGUCGAUGGGAAACAGGUUAAUAUUCCUGUACUUGGUGUUACUGCGAAGGGGGGACGGAGAAGGCUAUGUUGGCCGGGCGACGGUUGUCCCGGUUUAAGCGUGUAGGCUGGUUUUCCAGGCAAAUCCGGAAAAUCAAGGCUGAGGCGUGAUGACGAGGCACUACGGUGCUGAAGCAACAAAUGCCCUGCUUCCAGGAAAAGCCUCUAAGCAUCAGGUAACAUCAAAUCGUACCCCAAACCGACACAGGUGGUCAGGUAGAGAAUACCAAGGCGCUUGAGAGAACUCGGGUGAAGGAACUAGGCAAAAUGGUGCCGUAACUUCGGGAGAAGGCACGCUGAUAUGUAGGUGAAGUCCCUUGCGGAUGGAGCUGAAAUCAGUCGAAGAUACCAGCUGGCUGCAACUGUUUAUUAAAAACACAGCACUGUGCAAACACGAAAGUGGACGUAUACGGUGUGACGCCUGCCCGGUGCCGGAAGGUUAAUUGAUGGGGUCAGCGCAAGCGAAGCUCUUGAUCGAAGCCCCGGUAAACGGCGGCCGUAACUAUAACGGUCCUAAGGUAGCGAAAUUCCUUGUCGGGUAAGUUCCGACCUGCACGAAUGGCGUAAUGAUGGCCAGGCUGUCUCCACCCGAGACUCAGUGAAAUUGAACUCGCUGUGAAGAUGCAGUGUACCCGCGGCAAGACGGAAAGACCCCGUGAACCUUUACUAUAGCUUGACACUGAACAUUGAGCCUUGAUGUGUAGGAUAGGUGGGAGGCUUGGAAGUGUGGACGCCAGUCUGCAUGGAGCCGACCUUGAAAUACCACCCUUUAAUGUUUGAUGUUCUAACGUUGACCCGUAAUCCGGGUUGCGGACAGUGUCUGGUGGGUAGUUUGACUGGGGCGGUCUCCUCCUAAAGAGUAACGGAGGAGCACGAAGGUUGGCUAAUCCUGGUCGGACAUCAGGAGGUUAGUGCAAUGGCAUAAGCCAGCUUGACUGCGAGCGUGACGGCGCGAGCAGGUGCGAAAGCAGGUCAUAGUGAUCCGGUGGUUCUGAAUGGAAGGGCCAUCGCUCAACGGAUAAAAGGUACUCCGGGGAUAACAGGCUGAUACCGCCCAAGAGUUCAUAUCGACGGCGGUGUUUGGCACCUCGAUGUCGGCUCAUCACAUCCUGGGGCUGAAGUAGGUCCCAAGGGUAUGGCUGUUCGCCAUUUAAAGUGGUACGCGAGCUGGGUUUAGAACGUCGUGAGACAGUUCGGUCCCUAUCUGCCGUGGGCGCUGGAGAACUGAGGGGGGCUGCUCCUAGUACGAGAGGACCGGAGUGGACGCAUCACUGGUGUUCGGGUUGUCAUGCCAAUGGCACUGCCCGGUAGCUAAAUGCGGAAGAGAUAAGUGCUGAAAGCAUCUAAGCACGAAACUUGCCCCGAGAUGAGUUCUCCCUGACUCCUUUAAGAGUCCUGAAGGAACGUUGAAGACGACGACGUUGAUAGGCCGGGUGUGUAAGCGCAGCGAUGCGUUGAGCUAACCGGUACUAAUGAACCGUGAGGCUUAACCUU